RNAcentral lists this ribosomal RNA (204 nucleotides) under uncultured bacterium. Its description in RNAcentral is "partial 16S ribosomal RNA". It matches the Rfam family "Bacterial small subunit ribosomal RNA", at positions 1288 to 1500 of the family's 1533-position model. The record is from RNAcentral.
UCAGUUCGGACUGGAGUCUGCAACCCGACUCCACGAAGCUGGAUUCGCUAGUAAUCGCGCAUCAGCCACGGCGCGGUGAAUACGUUCCCGGGCCUUGUACACACCGCCCGUCAAGCCAUGGGAGCCGGGGUACCUGAAGUGCGUAACCGCGAGGAUCGCCCUAGGGUAAAACUGGUGACUGGGGCUAAGUCGUAACAAGGUAUC